Anser cygnoides (Swan goose) is the source of this 2220-nucleotide long non-coding RNA. The record is from Ensembl. Lineage: Eukaryota; Metazoa; Chordata; Aves; Anseriformes; Anatidae.
UGGAGGGGGCGGUUUGGGGGUCCCUAUAGGGUCCUGGGGAGGGUCCGGCUCUGUGGGGGUCCCCGGUGUCGUUCCGGGGGUCCCGGGAUCUAUAGGGGGCCCUGGCAUCAGUGAGGGGGGGGGCGAGCCUAUAGGGGUCCAUGGGGGUGGUCUGGGGGUCCCCAAGCCUAUAGGGGUCCAUGGGGUCAGUCUGGGGGUCCUGGGAUCUAUAGGGGUCCAUGGGGUCAGUCUGGGGGUCCUGGGAUCUAUAGGGGUCCAUAUUGUCUGUCUGGGGGACCUGGGAUGUGUAGGGGUCCAUGGGAUCACUAUGGGGGUCCCCAAGUCUAUAGGGGUCCAUGGGGUCAGUAUGGGGGUCCCCAAGUCUAUAGGGGUGCAUGGGUUCGGUCUGGAGGUCCUGGGAUCUAUAGGGGUCCCCGGCAUCAGUAGUGGAGCCCCCAAGCCUAUAGGGGUCCUUGGGGUCAGCCUGGGGGUCCUGGGCCCUAUGGAGGUCCCUAUAUGCAGUCUGGGGGUCCUGGGAUCUAUAGGGGUCCCCAGCAUCGGUAGGGGGAUCCCCAAGCCUAUAGGGUUCCCUGGGGUUGGUCUGGAGGUCCUGGGAUCUAUAGGGUUCCCUAUAGAGAGGCUGGGGGUCCUGGGAUCUGUAGGGGUCCCCAGCAUCAGUAGUGGAGUCCCCAAGUCUAUAGGGGUCUUUGGAGUCAGCCUGGGCCCCAUAGGGGUCCCUAUACGCAGGCUGGGGGUCCUGGGAUCUAUAGGGGUCCCUAUAUGCAGUCUGGGGGUCCUGGGAUCCAUAGGGGUCCCCAGCAUCAGUAGGGGGAUCCCCAAGCCUAUAGGGUUCCCUGGGGUUGGUCUGGGGGUCCCAGGCCCUAUAGGGGUCCCUAUACUCAGGCUGGGGGUCCUGGGCUCUGUAGGGGUCCCUGACUUCAGUCUGGGGGCCCCCAUCCCCAUGGGGGUCCCAGGGCUCGCUCUGGGGGUCCCCGUUACUAUAGGGGUCCCUGGGGUCAGUCUGGGGGUCCCACGGCCUAUAGGGGUCCCCGGCAUCAGUCUGGGGACCCCCAUCCCUAUAGGGGUCGGUGUCGGGGUCCCCAUAGGGCUCCCAGGGCCUGGUUUGGGGGUCCCUGCCCCUGCGGAGGCUCCCGGGCUCUGGGUCCUCGGCCCCAUAGGGGUCCGACGGGGCCAUAUAGGGGUCCCAGGGCCCCCUCACGGGGUCCUCAUCCCUAUAGGGGUCCAUAUAGGGGUCGCCGUAAGAGUCGGGGUCCCAGGUCUCUGUGUCGGCGUCUUCAUCCCUAUAGGGGGCGGCGGGGUCCGCGUAGGGGUCCCCAUAGGCGUCGGGGUCCCCAUAGGGGUCGGGGUCCUCCAGGUCCGUGUAGGGGUCCCCAUAGGCGCUGGGGUCCCAUGGGUGGGCGGGGGGGGGCGGGGAGGCGGCCUCGUGCAAGCCGCGCUGGUGCAAAGCCCGGUGCGAAUCCUCGUGCGAAUCCUCGUGCGAGUCCUCGUGCAAAUCCUCGUGCGAGCCCCGCCGCCGCUCCCCGCGCGCGUCCUGCUGCCGAGCCCGGCCCGCGGCUCGGUUCCAAUCCUCGUGCAAGCCCCGGCGCCAAUCCUCAGGUGCGCCCUGGCGCGGGUCCUGGUGCAAACCCUCGUGCAAAUCCUCGUGCGAGCCCCGGCGCGACGCCUCGUGCGAGCCCCGCGGCGAGCCCCGCUGCAACUCCUCCCGCAGGCCGCGCCGCGAAUCCCGGCGCCACCCCCGGCGCGGCUCCUCGUGCGAGCCCCGGCGCACGUCCCGGUGCAAAUCCUCGUGCCUCGGCCUCCCCGGAGGCCGCCGGGGCCGGCACGUGGCGCCGUCGGGCUGCAGGACGAAGCCGCGGCGGCAGUGGCAGGCGAAGCCGCCCUCGUGGUUGAGGCACAUGUGGUGGCACACGGCGGCCGUGCGGCACUCGUCGCGGUCCCCGCAGCGCCCCGGGGCCCCCGGCACCGGCCCGAAGCCCAGCGGGCACGGGGGCACCGGGGACACCGCCGCCGCCGCCGCCGUCAGCAGGGCCAGCAGGGCCAGCAUCGUCCUCCUCGGCCUCCUCUUCCUCUUCUUCCUCGGCCUCCUCCUCCUCCUCCUCCUCCUCCUCGGCCUCCCCCUGCUCCUUGGCCUCCUCCUCGGUCUCCUUCCCCUCGGCCUCCUCCUCCUCCUCCUGCUGCUCCUCGGCCUCCUCCUCGGCCUCUUUGGCCUCCUCCUCCUCC